AGUCUCUCUCUCUGUCUCUCUAUCUAUCUCCACUUCACAUUCCUCGUCAAUUUUUUUUUACAAACUCUUGACAACUUUAGCCUUUUCCCAAACUUCGAAGCCCCCGCCCACCCUGGCUCUUGUCUUUUUCUCCUCUUUUUCUUUAUCCGUCUGUUCUCUUCUUCCAGUGGCUCUCAGUGUAAAACUGAUCCUCCUGACUCCUGCCCACCCGAAUUCCACCAGGGCAGCUGAGGCUCGGGAAGGAGUCUGGCAAAGAGAAUUCUGCUGCAGAGUGGGAACAGGGGGGCUGGGCGGGGAGUGUGGAGCGUGCUGGGGGGCCAAGGUUGGGAGCAAGUCAGCUAUAUUCACACGUGAUUAUUACCUUUUAUCCCAUGAGCAGAAGUGAGCAGAGUAAGACCUGCAAGUCUAACCCUGCAAGGAGAACCUCCAAAAUCUCCUCAUUCUGUUUAGUUUCAGCGAAUCACAAACAUUAGUCUGCAUCCCAUGUUCGCUUUUCUUUUUGUUGGUUCACCUACCAAGUUUAUCCUCUGACCUUCAUGGGACCUCCCGGGACCAUGGGAGCUCUAAAAAGCCAUUGUGUGAAAAUCUCCUUUAUUUCUAAGGACCACUAGGUAAAGAGUCUGUGACCUUCUCUGGCCAUUCAUCACAGGAUGAACAGUUCCUUUUAGAAAAUUAUUAUAGCCCACGUGCCUCAUGCUACAUGUUAAGCCCAGACUGUGGUGGCCAGGGUCAGUGUGGAAGAAGGCUGUUGGGAGGCCACGGGGAAGGGCAGAAACUUGUCUGGACUGGGAAGCAUCGUCCCUGUACAUAUACUGACUUCAAAAGUCCUGAAUGCCCUGUGUUGGGUGGUGCCAGACCUGGAGAGGAGAAGAUUAAAACACUAAUGGAUGUUUUGUCUACACCCAUCAGCUUACACGGUGGUUUAGAACACAAGCAUAUUUUACAUGAAGACAUCGAAAUUUUUCUUAACCUUUUAUGGACUAGUUGAAAUGUUCUCAACAUUAUCAUUUCAUCCUAAGUUUUGCUGUAGUAACUUAUGGUUCUUUCCUGAAUCAAGUUUGUUGAUAACUAUAUUAAAUAGUAGACUCCCAAACUCAAAAGUGACAUUUCUGUAAGGGUUUUGACUGUGCAGUGUGUUGUGUCUGAGUUAACUUAGGAUGAUCUUAGUACAAUUUAAGCGUUUGUGUGGCUUGUGGCUCAGCCUGAUCUCCAGAGGAAUAAAAAAAUAUAACCAGAGUAAACGUUUGGUUGAGUUCGAAACCUCUGCUGACCUACAAGAGAGCCAGAGAAAAGGAAAGGAAAAGGGGAAGGCACGUGAGGUGACACUGUCAGGGUACAGAGACUGUUUUUGGAGUAGAAUAUCAGUAAAUCAGGAGCUGGAAUUAUGUAAAGAACUCCAGUUAUAGCAAAGAGACCCCACAAUGCAAUGGCUCGAACGAGUGAGAAAUCAAUUUCUCUUUCAGUACGUCUCCAAGGCAGAUGGGCAAGCCCUGUUCCAGGAAGUCAGUCAGGGAUCCAGGCUGGUGGGGUGGCUCUGCCAUCCUCCGCAGGUGCUCCAGUCUGUUCUAUUUCCAGCCAGCAGGAAGGAAAGGAGACAACACAACUGGGGCAAGCACCUUUGAAUUUAUUUUUCAGUAGAAAAUCCCAGACGUAUCCAUAUAAAUGAAGGGAUAAUGUAGGAUAAUACAUCCCUCUGUACCCAUCACUCAGCUUCAAGUAUCUUCAUGUGGUUGAACCUGUACCAUUAUAUCCCCCAGAUAUGUCCUCCUUUGCUGGCUUAUUUGAAAAAUCAAAUCUCAGACAUCUUGAAGCAGAUGAUCUGGAAGUUGUACACAUCACUACAUCACUUGUUAAAAAUGUAGUCACAUGGCCACGUCCAGCUGCAAGCAAGGCUGGGCGAAAGCUCUAGCUGGGUGGCUGCAAACCCAGGAAGGAGGGAAGAAUGCCUUACUGGAUUCAGGCUUUGUGGAGAGUCCUUGAGAAAGGUCAGAGGUGGAAAAAUUAUGUGACUCGAAGAAAGACUAAGGAUGUUUCUGUAGAGCAGCAAGGUCCACAUAGUGAGAACUGCAUACUAACUCCGUGUGAAAGGACACGGAGUCUUAGGCACUUGAAUUUUCAGAAAAUACAACACUGGCUGACCAAAAACAGGACAGCAAAAUGAAGUGGCUUAGGAAGUCACCGCAGAAGCUUGCUUUUUUCUUACCCGUGUAAAAUUAGCCAAGGGAAUGAUUUUAGAGGAGAGUCAAUAUAUGUGUAAAUUAUGAACAUAGGUUAUUUGCUGUUGAAAUCCUGCCUUUGAAAGUGUUAAAAGGUGUAAUGCGUUUUUGAGAUUUCGUGUAUUUUCAUGUAAUAAAAAGAACAAGACACUACAGAAUAAAAUGAGCAGAAGAUGAACUGGUUGAAACUACUGAAACACAGAGUUCCCAUCAUGGUUCAGCAAAAACGAAUUUGACUAGUAUCCAUUGAGGACACAGGUUCAAUCCCUGGCCUCACUCAGUGGGUUAAGGAUCCAGUGUAGCCGUGAGCUGUGGUGUAGAUCGCAGAUGUGGCUUGGAUCUGGCGUUGCUGUGGCUGUGGUGUAGGCUGGUGGCUACAGCUCCGAUUCAACCUCUAGCCUGGGAACCUCCUUAGCCGCGGGUGCAGCCCUAAAAAGACAACAAAACAAAACAAAACUAACGAAACAAUCAUGUCAAGAAACAUUUAUUGAGCAUCUCCUUAUUCUGAGGAUUGUCCUGGGUUCUCCAGGAGAUGCAGUGAUAACAAAUCCAUAGUCCUUGUUCUCCCAGGGGCUCUGUCUGAGGGCAGAUACACAUGAAAAUAGCUAACGAACUAUAACACCAGACAGAAUCAAUCAGAGGCCACAGUUGAAGGACAACUAGCAGAUAUCCACUGUUUCACCUGCCCUGUCCCUUCUCACAAGUAUCUUGAUUUUUCUUCAGGCCACCCCCUUCGCUCUCAGUUCACAGUGGAGCUGAUACAACCUCCAUGUCCAGGUUUCUUUACCUGUAAAAGUAUGCUGACCCUACCUUGAAGCAUGAUUUUGAGGCCGAGUGGAAUUGCUGUGUGUGAAAGACAUGUAUGUGUGAAUUAUUACCAUUAUUACUGAUUUGCCGUGGGUAGAAUAAAUAAGAAUAAAGGAAGUAAUGACAUUUUCUAGAACCAAUAUUGUUUGGGAAUAAUUGAUUUUAAGACAAAUAAAAUACACAAAGAUUCUCGCUGUCAUUUUCAAAUACCAUGCAUAUUCAUUUACAAGGGAGCACUCUGUAUUCAUGAUUUUGAAUUGGGGGCAUUUUUCUUCAUGGUGCCUGUUUCCGGUUUCCCAGGCUCCUUCUUGCCCGGGCUCUUUAUGCACAUACAUGGCCUUGAAGCCAGGAGGCAACCCUUCCGUCCUCUGACUUGAGGGCUGGAGUGUCACAGGCAACCUUUCCCUCCCCCACCCCCACCCCUGGGGCAUCAUGUUUUCCCACCCUCUGUAGUCAGGAGGUUGCAAAUCUCCUGUCUUUCUAGAAAACCAUUGAUUGUAUUUAUACAUUAGCCUUUUGUGUAGUAGGUUUUGAGUUAGAUUUAGUCCCAGUGGCUGAAAGUUCAGCAUUUCCUGAAUAUUUUCCUCCAAAUCCACACCCGUGUGUGGCAGGGAAGAAGCUGAAGGAUGAAUAGGCUUCCAUGUUGCUGGGUUAUUGAUAGGGAGAUGCUGGCAGAAAUUUGCAAGCAUUUGCAUAUAUACAAUUGUCUGUCUGAUGUUUGCUUCCAGGCUUGCUCUCCUUCUCUGCCCCCCCACCCCGUUCUCUUUGUGCAGUGAAUUACUAAUACAAAUACAGAUAAUGAAAUUUCUGAUCCCAGCCUGCAAAGCAAAUGCACAUCUUGGAAGGUAUCUGGGGAACAUAGAUAGAUUCUCUUGAUCUUGUUGCUUUAUCCAGACAAGGCAAUGAAGGGGAGAAAGUAAUUACAGGAACUUGUCUUUGAAGGUAGAACGAGUGGCACUGACAGGAUUUCUUUUUAGAGAAUCUUGUAGAGAUGCCAUUUUCUUGUUAAUACCAAUAGGUAUUUCCCUGGAAACAGAGUUUACUUAUUAAAAUGUGUGUUCGGCAGAUGGGACGCUGUCCCAGGAAGCAGAACAAGUUCCGUCCUUGUGGCUUCAGCACAGGAUGGGUCUGGGGCAGAUGGCACCCCAGGAUGGAGGCGUUCGCCAGGGACACCAUGAUAGUGCAAAUCCUGGAGGCAGGAGGAAAGCAAAUUUGCAUCUUUUGGUGAACUAGUGCUUGCACCACCAGUUCCUUAAAGUGGAAGCCUGACUUUGCCAGGCAACUGGAGACAGUGGCUCGGUGGCCCUGAUUAGGUGGCAGUAACAUCAGGAAAUCUCCAGAAUAUGUUCCUAUUAGCUAUUAGCUAUCAGAAAGUUCCAUGGAGAAAAAAAAAAACAACCUGAAAAGCAGCUUUAAUUGGGAACUUUUCAAGGUAACAAGCAUUUUCUUACACCUAUCCCUGCAGUAGACCAAAAAUUCAUACUCUGGUGAAUAAGCAACUAAAGUUAAGCCCAUGUUUUCUGAAGCAAUCACAUGAAUAAGCAAUGAAGGUUUAAUUGUCAAUAUGCUAUAUAAUUUAUGCCAUAACGUGAUCAACUUUGGUUCCACAAAUGCAUGUCAACUCUUUAUUUCUUUUUCAAUAAUCUUUGAUCUUACCUAUUGUUGACCUCUUACCAUAUGUCAUGUAGUAAAUGCCAAUUCUGUUUGUCUGAACAGGUUUCUCAACAACCCAAGUUUGUGCUGACAGCUUGUACGGAAAGAACAAAUAUUUGCUUUAUAUUUCAUGUAAAUAUGUGCAUGCUGUCAAAUAAGACGGGCUUAAGGAGGCUAAGAUUUUGUCUUCCAUGGCUCACAAGAAGGGACAGCUAAUCUAUAUUAGAAAUAAUUUGAGAUGUAGAACUGCCAUGUGGAAAAUAUAGAUCUCCCACUAGUUGAAAUGACAUUAGUAGGAAAAAAAUUUAGCUGAAAAAGGUUAUGAAAUGUUUAUUUUGUCAUACAGCUAAAAUAUGUUAGGACUAGAAUAAAAAAAAAA
Molecule: long non-coding RNA, 5055 nt
Filed under: Sus scrofa (pig)
Lineage: Eukaryota; Metazoa; Chordata; Mammalia; Artiodactyla; Suidae
Description: lncRNA (ENSSSCG00040007371.1)
Source: RNAcentral